AAUAGCAGCCAUAUCACCCUGCAGCCCAAGACUGGUUGCCCACUGAAGCUAAGCAGGGUUGAGCCUGGUCAGUACCUGGAUGGGAGACCUCCUGGGAAAACUAGGUUGCUGCUGGAA
This 117-nucleotide ribosomal RNA is filed under the name Sinocyclocheilus rhinocerous. Lineage: Eukaryota; Metazoa; Chordata; Actinopteri; Cypriniformes; Cyprinidae. The record is from RNAcentral.